RNAcentral lists this ribosomal RNA (235 nucleotides) under uncultured bacterium. RNAcentral describes it as "partial 16S ribosomal RNA". It matches the Rfam family "Bacterial small subunit ribosomal RNA", at positions 15 to 241 of the family's 1533-position model. The record is from RNAcentral.
GAUCCUGGCUCAGGAUGAACGCUAGCUACAGGCUUAACACAUGCAAGUCGAGGGGCAGCAUGAACUUAGCUUGCUAAGUUUGAUGGCGACCGGCGCACGGGUGAGUAACACGUAUCCAACCUUCCGUUUACUCAGGGAUAGCCUUUCGAAAGAAAGAUUAAUACCUGAUAGUAUGGUGAGAUUGCAUGAUAGCACCAUUAAAGAUUUAUUGGUAAACGAUGGGAGUGCGUUCCGU